GUAUCCUCUCAGUUUACCCUGUAGGUAUCCUCUCAGUUUACCCUGUAGGUAUCGGUCAGUGUACCCUGUAGGUAUCGGUCAGUGUACCCUGUAGGUAUCGGUCAGUGUACCCUGUAGGUAUCGGUCAGUGUACCCUGUAGGUAUCGGUCAGUGUACCCUGUAGGUAUCGGUCAGUUUACCCUGUAGGUAUCGGUCAGUGUAUCGGUCAGUUUACCCUGUAGGUAUCGGUCAGUGUACCCUGUAGGUAUCCUCUCAGUUUACCCUGUAGGUAUCGGUCAGUUUACCCUGUAGGUAUCCUCUCAGUGUACCCUGUAGGUAUCGGUCAGUUUACCCUGUAGGUAUCGGUCAGUUUAACCUGUAGGUAUCGGUCAGUGUACCCUGUAGGUAUCGGUCAGUUUACCCUGUAGGUAUCGGUCAGUGUACCCUGUAGGUAUCGGUCAGUUUACCCUGUAGGUAUCGGUCAGUGUACCCUGUAGGUAUCGGUCAGUGUACCCUGUAGGUAUCCUCUCAGUUUACCCUGUAGGUAUCGGUCAGUUUACCCUGUAGGUAUCCUCUCAGUGUACCCUGUAGGUAUCGGUCAGUGUACCCUGUAGGUAUCCUCUCAGUGUACCCUGUAGGUAUCGGUCAGUGUACCCUGUAGGUAUCCUCUCAGUUUACCCUAUUUGAAAGCUGAGUUGGAUUAGAGCUACGGCUUUAUGCUACUGGAGUUGAGUUGGAUUAGAGCUACGGCCUUAUGCUACUGGAGUUGAGUUGGAUUAGAGCUACGGCGUUAUGCUACUGGAGUUGAGUUGGAUUAGAGCUACGGCGUUAUGCUACUGGAUUUGAGUUGGAUUAGAGCUACGGCGUUAUGCUACUGGAGUUGCAUUGUACGGGACUUAAUGUGCGUGCAUGGUGUGAAUAUCGGGUUACCAAUCCAAUGCUCUAAACCUGAUAUUUGAAAAUAAGACAUUUUAGAAAUGAAUUGAAAUGAUUAAGUAUAGAGUACGUUGAAGUUUCUACUUUAUCCAUAUUUAUAACAUAUUUUUUAUCUCCUGAAAUUCCACACCAUUGAUUUAAUGUGUCUUACUGUUAAAGGUGUUGAAAGAUAUACAGUACAGACUAACCACAUGUGUUUUCCGUUUUUAGUUCUCUCUCUGAAAUACAACAGAACCUGAUGUCCCACCAUUCAUGUGACAUGUAUGGUAGGUUACUGUAAAUGUGACAAUGUGACAUGUCUGGUAGGUUACUGUAAAUGUGACAUGUCUGGUAGGUUACUGUAAAUGGCAGGGUUCAAACCGUGUAUUACAAUACCCACAGCUCUUACAUUCUGAAGCACAACUCUAGUUUCAGAACGCUGGUUGUAAAUAUUGUCUCGUGUUACUGUACAUUUGAAUUAGGCUGACUUGAUCGUCUUUCCAUUGGUUUAAUGUCAAUUUAAAACUGUCAUUUUGAAUUGUAUGACUGCAAGGUAUGUUUAGAUUUGUUUUGUGUACGUAAGAUCAUUAACACAUAUUGUCGUGCAGCACGAUAUACACUUGGAGAAUUUGUACAUUACAGGGCUAUUUUAACGGCAAUGGUUGAAAAAAUAUGACGUUGCUCAGAAUAUCACUCUAAUCUUGGGUUUUAUGCGGUUGAUUUAUUAAAAUAAAUGAUAUUCUGUUGCUGUAAAGGAACUGAUCUGCUGUUGAAUAUCUUCUGAUAAUGGUGGUUAACAAAAAACUACAACAAACUUUUGGUCAAUUCAGGUUUUUCUUCUACUUUGUUCAUUUUUUAAUGUGUACAUUUAUUAUUAUUAUUAUUAUAUUUUUUUUUUGCGUUUGGUUUUGAUAUUACAUACAGACAGGAAAUCCAAGUUUGCUCACUUACAUGAGUGGUCAAAAGUAGUGCACUACAUAGGGAAUAGGAUGCCAUUUUGAACUAAAUUAGAGUAGAUUAAUACGUUGUGUGUGUGUGUGGCAGGGAACAUAGUCCCUGUGGUGCAGGGUAGGCAACCCUGUUCCUGAAGGGCUUCAGGUACAGCAGGAUCUGGUUCCAACUACGCGCCACAUCUGACCAACUGAGCUAAUUGAUCAGUUCAGUGAUUGCCUAAAUUCAUCACACCUGGUCUUCUAGGUUGUUUAAGUCCAAACAUGAGGUGCUUGUGGGAGGGUUGCCUUACCCUACUGUGGUGCUAUGAUAAAGGCCCUAUUCAGGAAGUGUCUCAUAAAUGGCUAAUACAGUCUUGUGACCGCUGACCUGGAUUCGAAUCCUAGUCGGUGUCACCUUUCACACAGCACCAGGACCUGUAGUCUUAAAGCAUCUCACAGUAGGAGUGCUGAUCUAGAAUCAGUGUAUGCUUUUACAUCAUAAUAAUUACAGUAUAUGGACAGGAUCGAUCUGCUCCUAGAUCAGCACUUAUAUUCUAAGACGCUUUGUGAAUAUGGGCCCAGAGUUAAAUUAAUAGAUUCUUGGAUGUGGUAUUUCUGUAAAAAAAAAAAAAAUCUGUAUUUGGGAAUAUUUUUGUACAAAUCUGAAUCGGUAAUGUACACAUUUUCAGUGUCAUUAAAGCGUGUUCAAUUGUCUAUUUUAACUGUGCACUGUCUGUGUAAUGGUUUUCUUCCGUUGAAAGAGAGGACCAAAGCGCAGCGUGGUAAGUGUCCAUGGUAUUUAUUAAACACAUAAACUGAACACUCCAUACAAAAACAAUAAACGUA
Molecule: long non-coding RNA, 2672 nt
Organism: Oncorhynchus tshawytscha (Chinook salmon)
Lineage: Eukaryota; Metazoa; Chordata; Actinopteri; Salmoniformes; Salmonidae
Source: Ensembl